UCGCCAUUUAAGGUGCUGGGGUGGAGACGUGCGUUCUCUUUGACCAUGGACGCCGCCAAAAUCAAAAGCCUGCAUCAUACUGACAGCUACUUUCUACAAUCUGAUGGCCUUUUAAGUAAGAGAGGUGGCCCCUGCUUUGAAACCUGUGGAGGUGGGUGAGGCUUGGCGCUGACCCACGAUGCACCAGAACAUCCUGGAGGCCUGUUCCUUUGUGACGGGACACCUGUUAUUGCUGCAUCCUUCAUCAAACCCUGCAUUGACAACGCAACCAAACAGGACACUGGAUGUAAGAUGGGGGCCAAGCCAGAAGACGUGCGUGUGAGUGCGAACGAGCUGAAGAAAACACGGAAAUGAGGUGGAAAAGCAGAAAGAACAGAAGAGCAGUUUGGAUGAAUGAUGUAAAACAAACAAGCUAUUGGUAGAAAACAGCCGCCGGGCUGCACCUUGGACGCCCUUGUGCUAAAAUCGAGGCCAGUACAAGUUCUUAUUGGUUUUAUUCAUGUAAAAAUGUAACUCAUGAAUACAUGACCUGUUCAUCCAAACACUUUACUGCUUUUUUCAGUGAUUCUCUUUUUGGACAAAGUCAAAUAUAUUAG
This is a long non-coding RNA of Dunckerocampus dactyliophorus (ringed pipefish), 596 nucleotides long. RefSeq lists it as uncharacterized. Lineage: Eukaryota; Metazoa; Chordata; Actinopteri; Syngnathiformes; Syngnathidae. The record is from RefSeq and is a predicted model, not a curated record. The transcript is spliced from 4 exons.